Populus euphratica (Euphrates poplar) is the source of this 2160-nucleotide long non-coding RNA. RefSeq lists it as uncharacterized. The record is from RefSeq and is a predicted model, not a curated record. NCBI's taxonomy places the organism in Eukaryota, Viridiplantae, Streptophyta, Magnoliopsida, Malpighiales, Salicaceae. The transcript is spliced from 2 exons.
ACAAGGGGAUCUCAGUUUGGUCGAUUCGAGAAACGACCUUUUUCUAGCCAAAUUUUCUAACGUGGAUGACAGAGAUUUUGCACUGUUUGGAGUGCCUUGGAUGAUAGCAGAUCACUACCUUACGGCGCGACAAUGGCAUCUGAGUUUUGAUCCGUUUGAAGCAACCAUCGAGAAGGUAGCGGUAUGGGUGAGACUUCCAGAUUUGGAGAUGGAAUAUUAUGAUAACUCGGUAUUAUGGAAAAUUGGGAAUCACAUUGACCGGAAUUAAAAGAUUGAUCGAACAACUUCGAUUGGCUCGAGAGGUAAUUAUGCUAGGACUUGUGUGGAGGUUGAUUUGACCAAACCUCUGUUAUCAAAAUCCAAAUUGAGGGGUGGGAGAUUAGACAGAGGCCUGGGCAAUCGGCAAUUCAGAUUGAAAUUCCCAGAGCUGCAGAUCAAAGUUCUUCGGCGUAUAAAAGUCUGGUCAUCACCCUUUGUUAAUUCAGUUUCAGCAUAGCAGAGAUUUGAGGUAGAGAGGGGAUAGACCAUCCAGGUUCGAAGCAGCUUGGGUUACACAUGAGAAGUUUGGAUUAUUUAUGCAGGAGAAUUGGAGAAAGGAUUCUGACUUGGUCUUAGCUUUGAAAGACAUGACUUGUAUAGACUAAAAGCAUGCAAUAAGGAUGUUUUUGGCAACAUUUUUAAGCACAGAAAAAAAGAAAAGAAAGAAUUUUGGCUAGACUGAGAGGUAUUCAGAGAGUGCUUCAUGGUGGUAGAAAUCAGUUUUUGCUAGAAUUGGAAAAGCAGUUGGAUAAAGAACACAACCAGGCGUUGAGACGAGGAAAUUCUUUGGUGUCAAAAAUCUCGAUGUUAGAGGAUUUUGAGUGGGGAUAGGAACACCAGUUAUUUCCACACGAAAGCCAUUACAAGAAGACAUAAAAAUCAAAUUGCUGGCCUGAAGGAUGCUGGCAGUCGAUGGGUAUGGGAUGAGGAAAAGCUUCAGUAUAUGGCCACGGAAUCUUGCAGAAAACUACUCACCGAGGAAGGAGGUAAUUACAAUGGAGAUCCUUUCUUUGCUGAUUUCCCCAGGACAGAUUGUAUAAGCAAAGACAGAUUGGUGGUUAACUUGACGGCUGAGGAAGUGAGGAAAGCUGUCUUUGACAUGAAACCGUUAAAAGCUCCAGGCCCUGGUGGUUUUCAGACCUGUUUUUACCGGUCUCAUUGGAUUGUGGUGGGACAGGAUGUUUUCCAGUUUGUCAGAUCUAUUUUCAACAAUGAGCAGGAUUCAUCAAGGAUGAGUCAUUUGAAUUUAGUCUUAAUCCCUAAGAUGCCGAAGCCUGAAUUCCUUUAUUAAUCCAGAUCAAUUGGCUUCUGCAACAUUACCAGAACUGAAUCCUUUCAACUCGAGCCUUGCUUCAGGUCAAUCUUCAAGUCAGGUUUCAUAACUAUAUGAUAUAACUAGUAUAAAAUAGAUGGAAAAAAGUUGAUAUUGGAUUAAUAUAUGUUAACAUUUUUCUCAAAUUUGGAAAUAGAUUUUACAAUAUCUGUUCUUCAUUUAAAAUUAAGAUUAAUCGAGCUCUAAGAUUACUGCUAAAUAUUGUUAAAAAACAACACUGCUAAAUGCUAAACAUUUCGUGGCAGCAGGUUCAUGUCAGCUCUUCAUACCAGCAUGCUAGAAGAAGUUGUUGCCAGGUUAUUGAAAUUGAUGGUUUGUAGGCAUAUCUUGUAUGCUCCACGCGACAGAAAUAUUUUCAUCCUUUUCAGAGCACAACUUACAGAUCAAUUUUAGAAAUGCAGAAAUUAAAGAGGGCUCAAAAGUCACAGGUCUUUGCUAGUUGACUGCUCUCAAUACUUCAAAUCAAAGCUUAUCUGGUUCGAAAGUAGCAUUUGCGUAGAAGCCAUUUCGUGUUUGAGCAGACAAGUUACCGUUGAAACCUCUACUCUUGAGAUUCUAUCCUCCUUGAGCAGUUAAAGCAAAAGGCAGAAAAGGACGGCUGUGCCCAUGCAGUAAUCAAGUUAAAGCCAGCCGAACCGCAGCACAUAGCAAAACCAAAUCAAUUGUUGGCAUCCAUAUCCAUGCUAAUUCAUGUUCAGCUACAAUGAUUAGUCUCCACUUGCCUGCAACAAGAAAUCUCAACAGAAUUUUCUGUCGCUAAUGCUUAAUCUUCAGGCAAGUUCAAGUGA